GCACCUUAGGGAGCAUUGUCGGGGCCUACAACACCAAAAUCGGCUCGGGAACGGACUCCGACGGUACGUCGGAUUCCCUCGCGGGUGCAGAUGGAGCAACUGCCUGACCCUUUUUCGACGGUCGGGAGGGUCUAGCUUCGGAUACUGUCUUCUUCUUGGCAGCAUGCUGACGAAUAUCGGCAGCUGAUACUCGUACCUUUGACUGCAUAGUUGCAAUCAGAACAAAGAAGUCAGCACAAUUCAAAAACAAACAAAGUAAAAAAAAUAAAAGUAGUCAACUAUGCUAUACCUAAGGAAGUGGUCGAACUAAGCCCGGCAUAGUAGAGAGCUUGUUCGGUCAUCAGCUCUCUCUGUGGUGAAACUGUCAUGUCCUUCAGUUGGUGAAAAUCUUCUCGAUCAUUGACUUCCAUCAGAUUAUUCUUGUUGGGGCCGGUCCUUGGAUCACCCCAGCAUGAAGGAAAGCCCCAAGAAAAAGGAGAAGAAACAAAAAA
RNAcentral lists this long non-coding RNA (491 nucleotides) under Elaeis guineensis (African oil palm). Its description in RNAcentral is "long non-coding RNA (EGUI_LNC036960)". The record is from RNAcentral. Lineage: Eukaryota; Viridiplantae; Streptophyta; Magnoliopsida; Arecales; Arecaceae.